UAGCCCCUAAAAAAAAUUUAGGAUUUGAUGGCAAGGACCGGCCGAAAGAAAAUUAAAUUUAUUUUUUUUUUUAAGUGCUGCGAUAUUUCGUUUAAAAAUUCUUKGGCGAGUGGCAGAAAAUCGGAGGCCCCGACUGUUUACUAAAAACACAAUUUUCAGCAAUGAUUAAUAAUCAUAGUAUUGAAGAUGAAAUUUGCUCGAUGCCUGUAAUAUAACCAAGAGAAAUGGUCCCUUAAAGGGCUUUUCGCGUAAUAUUUUGUAAACCUAAAUCUAAAUUUUAAUCUAAAUCUAAACUUUCUCUCCCCCUCUAAUAAAUGGGGCCCGAAAGAAACCUAAAUGUUUUUUUUACACAAGGAUAAUUAAGCAAAUCUUAAACUUGAAAAGGUGGACAGCAAAUCUUUAUUAUAAAAUUGGAUCUUAAAGUUUAUUUUUAAAUAACUAGAGUAUUAAACGAUUUGUUAGCUGUUCUUUUGGGAAGUUCUGGUGAAUGGCGGUCUUAACUAUGAGGAUCCUAAGGUAGCAARAUAAAUUGGCCCAUUAAAUGUGGUCCGGUAUCAAUAAUGUAACGAUGGGCUCACUGGUCUCUAC
This 588-nucleotide ribosomal RNA is filed under the name Typhula incarnata. RNAcentral's name for it is "partial large subunit ribosomal RNA". The stretch from base 119 to 576 matches the Rfam family "Bacterial large subunit ribosomal RNA", at positions 1785 to 2014 of the family's 2925-position model. The record is from RNAcentral. Lineage: Eukaryota; Fungi; Basidiomycota; Agaricomycetes; Agaricales; Typhulaceae.